Molecule: ribosomal RNA, 253 nt
Filed under: uncultured bacterium
Lineage: Bacteria
Description: partial 16S ribosomal RNA
Rfam family: Bacterial small subunit ribosomal RNA
Source: RNAcentral
GACGUAGGGGGCAAGCGUUGUCCGGAUUCAUUGGGCGUAAAGAGCGUGUAGGCGGCCAGGUAGGUCGGUUGUGAAAACUGGAGGCUCAACCUUCAGAGGUCGACCGAAACCAUCUGGCUAGAGUCCGGGAGAGGAGAGUGGAAUUCCUGGUGUAGCGGUGAAAUGCGUAGAUAUCAGGAGGAACACCUGCGGUGUAGACGGCUUUCUGGACCAUUGCUGACGCUGAGACACGAAAGCGUGGGUAGCAAACAGG